Molecule: ribosomal RNA, 443 nt
Filed under: uncultured bacterium
Lineage: Bacteria
Description: partial 16S ribosomal RNA
Rfam family: Bacterial small subunit ribosomal RNA
Source: RNAcentral
CCUACGGGUGGCAGCAGUGGGGGAUAUUGGACAAUGGGGGGAACCCUGAUCCAGCGACGCCGCGUGAGUGAAGAAGUAUUUCGGUAUGUAAAGCUCUGUCAGCAGGGAAGAAAGCAAUGACGGUACCUGACAAAGAAGCCCCGGUUAACUACGUGCAAGCAGCCGCGGUAAUACGUAGGGGGCAAGCGUGAUCCGGAAUUACUGGGUGUAAAGGGAGCGUAGACGGCUGUGCAAGUCUGGAGUGAAAGGCGGGGGCCCAACCCCCGGACUGCUCUGGAAACUGUAUGGCUGGAGUGCAGGAGAGGUAAGCGGAAUUCCUAGUGUAGCGGUGAAAUGCGUAGAUAUUAGGAGGAACACCAGUGGCGAAGGCGGCUUACUGGACUGUAACUGACGUUGAGGCUCGAAAGCGUGGGGAGCAAACAGGAUUAGAUACCCGUGUAGUC